CUCCUCUCCUCUCUCUCCCAUACCUCUCCUCCCCUCUCUUUCCCCCAUACCUCUCCUCUUUCCCCCCCAUCUCCUUCUGCCUCCUCUGCUUCAGUUAGGGGUCAAAGGUCACGGGGUCUCCUGGUGCUAGAAGUUCAGAGGUCAUGUGUUUCUAUCUAGCUCAGGCAGGUCAUGUGGAAACACACCUUAUCAAUUAGAACGGAACAGCGUGAGAACCCAAGAAUAAGCACCCACCAUGUCAUGCAACUGUAAGAUAAUGGGUAGCUUAAAGAAUAGUCAUCAACAUCAUCACCAUUAUCAACAUUAUAUCAUCAUUAUUGGAGUCAUUAACAACAUUAUUGGAGUUGUUAUCAUCAUCGUUGGAGUCACUAUUGACAUCAUAUAAUCAUUAUUGGAGUCAUUAUUGGAAUCAUUAUCAGCAUCAUAUCAUCAUUGUUGGAUACAUUAACAACAUCAUAUCACCAUUAUUGGAGCCUCGAUCACAUUAUUGAAGUCGUUAUUGGAGUCAUUAUCAACAUCAUAUAAUCGUUGUUGGAGUCAUUAUUGACAUCAUAUCAUCAUUAUUGGAGUCAUUAUCCACCUUAUAUAAUCAUUAUUGGUCAUUAUCCACAGCAUCAUCGUUAUUGGAGGCACUAUUGGAAUCAUUAGCCACAUUAUCAUCAAUAUUGGCGUCAUUAUCUACAUUAUAUCAUCAUCACUAUUUGAGUCAAUAUUGACAUUAUAUAAUCAUUAUUGGAGUUGCUAUCAACAUAUCAUCAUUAAUGGAGACAUUAUUGAAGUCAUUAUCAACAUUAUAUCAUCAUUAUAGGAGUCAUUACCCACAUUAUAUCAUCAGUAUUGGAGUCAUUAUCCACAUUAUAUCAUCAGUAUUGGAGUCAUUACCCACAUUAUAUCAUCAGUAUUGGAGUCAUCAUCCACCUUAUAACAUAUUAUUGGAGUCAUCACAUUAUAUCAUCAGUAUUGGAGUCAUUAUCCACAUUAUAUCAUCAUCAUUAUUGGAGUCAUUAUCCAUAUUAUAUCAUCAGUAUUGGAGUCAUUAUCCACAUUAUAUCAUCAGUAUUGGAGUCAUCAUCCACCUUAUAACAUAUUAUUGGAGUCAUUAUCCACAUUAUAACAUAUUAUUGGAGUCGUUAUCCAUAUUAUAUCAUCAGUAUUGGAGUCAUUAUCCACAUUAUAUCAUCAUUAUUGGAGCCAUUAUCCACAUUACAUCAUUAUUAUUGGAGUCAUUGUCAUCAUAUCAUCAUUAUUAGAGUCAUUAUCCACAUUAUAUUAUCAUCACAAUUAUUGUCAUUAUCCACAUUAUUGGAGUCAUUAUCAACAUUCUAACAUCAGUAUUGGAGUCAUUAUCCACAUUAUACCAACAUCAUCAUUAUUGGAGUCAUUAUCAACAUUAAAUCAUCAUUAUUGGAGUCAUUAUCCACAUUACAUCACCAUUAUUGGAGUCAACGACUAUGACUCCAAUAACAAUGACUCCAAUAAUGGUGAUGUAAUGUGGAUAAUGAUGAUUUAAUGUUGAUAAUGACUCCAAUAAUGAUGAUGUUGGUAUAAUGUGGAUAAUGACUCCAAUACUGAUGUUAACAUGUUGAUAAUGACUCCAAUAAUGUGGAUAAUGACAUAUCAUCAUAUCAACUGAUGAACUGAUGAAGAUGAUUUUAUUUGCCAUAAUUUCAUUUCCAUAGUGAAUGCUUUCACGAGCAAUUAUUAUACAUUUCCCCCAAAAAAUGUAAGUACGGUAUUUCAUGGUAUAAAAAACAGGUUAAAAGUCUGCAAAAAAUAUUUACAAGAUGAACAAUGUCUACAAUAAAUUCUGUAUAUUAGUUUAAUUGAAUAGAAAGUAUGUCUUUACGCAGUUGUGUAUAAAAACCAAACCAUUAAUUUAGUUUUAGUAGUAAAAAUCCUCGAUACAUGUUUUCCUUUUCAAUUUUAGCAAUUUAAUGUAACAAACACAUUUAAAUAACCGAACCAUUUAAAAAUGGUUAACCCACUUUCACUGCAGACUGAUGCAGCUGUGGGUUUAGAACACAAAGAGGAAUGUUCUCUAUCCAAGGUCCCUUCUCCUCUCCUCCUUUCAAGGAAUGACAGAUGAAGAGGUAGACAUCCUAAGAGCAGGGGUUCCCUUCAUUAGUCCUUUAUCCAUAGAGGAACCCUAACCCUACAGCUACAGAUGAAUCCUAACCCUACAGCUACAGAGGAAUCCUGACCCUACAGCUACAGAGGAAUCCUGACCCUACAGCUACAGAGGAAUCCUGACCCUACAGCUACAGAGGAAUCCUGACCCUACAGCUACAGAGGAAUCCUGACCCUACAGCUACAGAGGAAUCCUGAUCCUACAGCUACAGAGGAAUCCUGACCCUA
Long non-coding RNA from Oncorhynchus tshawytscha (Chinook salmon), 2355 nucleotides. Lineage: Eukaryota; Metazoa; Chordata; Actinopteri; Salmoniformes; Salmonidae. The record is from Ensembl.